RNAcentral lists this ribosomal RNA (495 nucleotides) under uncultured bacterium. RNAcentral's name for it is "bacterial SSU rRNA". It matches the Rfam family "Bacterial small subunit ribosomal RNA", at positions 903 to 1397 of the family's 1533-position model. The record is from RNAcentral.
AAAUGAAUAGACGGGGGCCCGCACAAGCGGUGGAUCAUGUGGUUUAAUUCGAAGCAACGCGAAGAACCUUACCUGGAUUUGACAUCCUUGGACAAACGCAGAGAUGCGUCUUUCGUAGCAAUACGACCAAGUGACAGGUGCUGCAUGGCUGUCGUCAGCUCGUGUGGUGACAUGUUGGGUUAAGUCCCGCAACGAGCGCAACCCUUGUCUUUAGUUGCCAGCAUUAAGUUGGGCUCUCUAAAGAGACUGCCGUGGUUAACACGGAGGAAGGUGGGGAUGACGUCAAGUCCUCAUGGCCUUUAUAUCCAGGGCGACACACGUGAUACAAUGGACGGUACAGAGGGAUGCGAACCCGCGAGGGGGAGCCAAUCUCAAAAAGCCGUUCUCAGUUCGGAUUGGAGUCUGCAACUCGACUCCAUGAAGUUGGAAUCGCUAGUAAUCGGAGAUCAGCACGCUCCGGUGAAUACGUUCCCGGGCCUUGUACACACCGCCCGU